GGGUCCUGGUCUUCCUGUCAUACAUACAUUACUUACCAUUAUUCCAGGGCCUCCUCUGGGCUCCUGGUCUUCGAGUCCACAAUCGUGCCAGGCCGUAGAAUGGGGUCCUGGUCUUUCAUUUCCGUGCCAGGCCGUAGAAUGGGGUCCUGGUCUUCCUGUCAUGGACUAAUUGGGUCAUCCAACAUUCACCCACAUCAACAACACAUGAUGCAAUGCGGCAUAUUCGUGAAACUAAUGCAAUCACCCUAUUGCAUAAUCAUGAUGCAUGAAACAUGAUAAAACAUUUAAUUUAAAAGAUUAAGUUUAGUUCCACUCACCUCUGGCUGACUCUGACAACACCGAAGCAGCUGAACUCACUGCUGGGGUC
This 367-nucleotide long non-coding RNA is filed under the name Manihot esculenta (cassava). RNAcentral describes it as "long non-coding RNA (MESC_LNC008710)". The record is from RNAcentral. Lineage: Eukaryota; Viridiplantae; Streptophyta; Magnoliopsida; Malpighiales; Euphorbiaceae.